GGAAGAGGAGGAGAAAGGGGGAGACAGGUCCAACAUGUGUCUUCCUGCUUUGGAGAAAAUGCUGCCAACCUGCUGCAGGGAAUCUGAGCCGAUUUAAGAGCAGAAAAUAAACUGAAGGGGAGGUCACAAUCAGGAGAAGUUUCCCUCCAUCGUGUUUCUUCCUGAAGGCUGCGGCUCAGAGGUCAUGGUCCUGAAUCAUCCUGAGCUUCCAGGCUGCAGUUUCUUCAUUUAUUGGUCCCUGCAGGUCUCCACAGGGGGCGCUGUUAUUCCAAACAUCCACCUGUUGCCAAAGAUCCCAGAGAGAGGUGAGAUGUCCCUCUGAGGGAUAAAGUGAACCUGAGGUCCUGCU
This is a long non-coding RNA of Cyprinodon variegatus (sheepshead minnow), 349 nucleotides long. RefSeq lists it as uncharacterized. NCBI's taxonomy places the organism in Eukaryota, Metazoa, Chordata, Actinopteri, Cyprinodontiformes, Cyprinodontidae. The transcript is spliced from 3 exons. The record is from RefSeq and is a predicted model, not a curated record.